UGUAGACACCUGUGGACCACUGUAGACCCCUGUAGAACAUGUAGAGCACUAUAGGUCACUGUAGACCACUGUAGGUCACUGUAGACCACUGUAUGUAGACCACUAUAUACGACUGUAGACCCCUGUAGAACAUGUAGACCAUUGUAGGUCACUGUAGACGACUGUGGUCACUGUAGACCCCUGUAGACCACUGUGGUCACUGUGAACCACUGUAGAUCACUGUAGACCCCUGUAGACCACUGUAGACCCCUGUAGAUCACUUUAGACCCAUGUAGACCCCUGUAGAACAUGUAGAGCACUGUAGACCCUUGUAGACCACUGUAGGUCACUGUAGACUACUGUAGGUCACUAUAGACUACUGUAUGUAGACCACUGACUGUAGACGGCUGUAAGUCACUGUAGGUCACUGUAGACCACUGUAGAUCAUUGUAGGUCACUGUAGACCACUGACUGUAGACGGCUGUAAGUCACUGUAGGUCACUGUAGACCACUGUAGAUCAUUGUAGGUCACUGUAGACCACUGUAUGCAGAUCCCUGUAGACCACUGUAGACCACUGUAGACAACUGUAGAAGACUGUAGAUCACUGUAGACCACUGUAUGUAGACCACUGACUGUAGACGGCUGUAAGUCACUGUAGGUCACUGUAGACCACUGAAGAUCAUUGUAGGUCACUGUAGACCACUGUUUGUAGACGACUGUAAGUCACUGUAGACCACUAAAGAUCAUUGUAGGUGACUGUAGACCACUGACUGUAGACGGCUGUAAGUCACUGUAGGUCACUGUAGACCACUGAAGAUCAUUGUAGGUCACUGUAGACUACUGACUGUAGACGGCUGUAAGUCACUGUAGGUCACUGUAGACCACUGAAGAUCAUUGUAGGUCACUGUAGACUACUGACUGUAGACGGCUUUAAGUCACUGUAGGUCACUGUAGAUCAUUGUAGGUCACUGUAGACCACUGUUUGUAGAUCCCUGUAGACCACUGUAGAGCCCUGUAGACCACUGUAGGUCACUGUAGACAACUGUAGGUCACUGUGAACCAUUGUAGGUCUCUGUAGGUCACUGUAGACCACUGUAUGUAGACCACUAUAUACGACUGUAGGUCACUAUAGACCCCUGUAGACCACUGUAGGUCACUGUAGAUGACUGUAGGUCACUAUAGACCCCUGUAGACCACUGUGGUCACCGUGAACCACUGUAGAUCACUGUAGACCCCUGUAGACCACUGUAGACCCCUGUAGAUCACUGUAGACCCCUGUAGACCACUGUAGACCGCUGUAAAACAUGUUGGUCACUGUAGACCCUUGUAGACAACUGUAGGUCACUGUAGGUCACUGUAGACCACUGUAGAUCACUGUGGUCACCGUGAACCACUGUAGAUCACUGUAGACCCCUGUAGACCACUGUAGACCGCUGUAAAACAUGUUGGUCACUGUAGACCCUUGUAGACAACUGUAGGUCACUGUAGGUCACUGUAGACCACUGUAGAUCACUGUGGUCACCGUGAACCACUGUAGAUCACUGUAGACCCCUGUAGACCAUUAUAGACCCCUGUAGACCACUGUAGACCGCUGUAAAACAUGUUGGUCACUGUAGACCCUUGUAGACAACUGUAGGUCACUGUAGACCACUGUAUCACUGACUGUAGACGGCUGUAAGUCACUGUAGGUCACUGUAGACCACAGUAGAUCACUGUAGAAAACUGUAGACCACUGUAAAUCACUGCAGACCACUGCAGAUCACAGCAGACCAGAUGGUUUAGAGUUUUUAAACCUUAAUCACAAUUCAGGACAUGAAGCACAUGGGUAAAAUGUGAAGAGUGAGGGACCAAGAAAUUGUAAUCAUAAUGAACCAGGAAAAGCGCAAUACUCAUAAUACAAUAAUAAGAAAUAAUAGUGAUGUUUCUUGAAAAAGUAUUUAGUCAGAAUAUAUGGCUAUUUCUGAAUGACUUUCAGUAGAGAAAGAUGCAGUUUACCACCAGAGUCUACCUGACCCAUGUUAACUAGCAGCAAAACCACUCUUUUAAACCUUUGGAGUUAACAGGGAAUCUCAGAUUGAUAAGAUGUCAGUUUAACAUGCAUUCUAAAUCAUUACGUCUUUUAGAGACAUCUUCUAAACGUCUAUUUGACA
Non-coding RNA from Pimephales promelas (fathead minnow), 2130 nucleotides. Lineage: Eukaryota; Metazoa; Chordata; Actinopteri; Cypriniformes; Leuciscidae. The record is from RefSeq and is a predicted model, not a curated record.